This is a non-coding RNA of Molossus molossus (Pallas's mastiff bat), 661 nucleotides long. The record is from the annotation of a RefSeq genome assembly. Lineage: Eukaryota; Metazoa; Chordata; Mammalia; Chiroptera; Molossidae.
AACAGCCACUCCCUUUUGAGUUUUGAGUUUCAGGCCCAGAGAGUGUCAGCCACUAAUUGCCACCGUGCUGGCCAGGGUCCUGCUCUCCUGCCUGCUGGCCCUGCCCCUCGGCCCCUGACCCCCUGCCCUGCUGGAGAGGACCUGGACGGGCCAGGGAAUGGCAGCACUUCCCAUUCUGUGGGGCUGGGUGCUCAUGGCUGCCGUGCGGACAGGUGCCUCUGAGAGCUUGGUGGAGCAAAGGCCCAGGUGGGCCCUGGUACGUCGCGGACAGGCUGAAACCCUGUACUGCUUCCUGAGAGAUGCCCAGUACCCCUGGAUGAGCUGGUACCAACAGGAUCUCCAGGGACAACUCCAGGUUCUGGCCAGUCUGCGGUCUUCUGGGGACAAGGAGGCCAAAUCUCUUCCCGGUGCAGAUUACCAGGCUGUGCGGGUCAAUGACAAGGAGCUGAAGCUGCAGGUGGCCAAUGUGACCCAGAGCAGGACCCUGUACUGCACCUGCAGCAAAGACACAGUGAGACAUUCUCCUUGGACGAGUGAACAAAAACCACCCCUGGUUCCCACAGACCCACGUCCCUCCCACUCUGCCCUGACAGCACCCCAAGCCUGCUCGUCCCCGCCCCAGAUCCUCCCUUCUGGCCUCUUCACUGCAAAUGAACUCUGA